CUACGGGUCGCUGCAGUGGGGAAUAUUGCACAAUGGGGGAAACCCUGAUGCAGCAACGCCGCGUGAGUGAUGAAGGUCUUCGGAUUGUAAAGCUCUGUCUUUAGGGACGAUAAUGACGGUACCUAAGGAGGAAGCCACGGCUAACUACGUGCCAGCAGCCGCGGUAAUACGUAGGUGGCAAGCGUUGUCCGGAUUUACUGGGCGUAAAGGGAGCGUAGGCGGAUUUUUAAGUGGGAUGUGAAAUACCCGGGCUUAACCUGGGUGCUGCAUUCCAAACUGGAAGUCUAGAGUACAGGAGGGGAAAGCGGAAUUCCUAGUGUAGCGGUGAAAUGCGUAGAGAUUAGGAAGAACACCAGUGGCGAAGGCGGCUUUCUGGACUGUAACUGACGCUGAGGCUCGAAAGCGUGGGGAGCAAACAGGAUUAGAUACCCCAGUAGUC
This 439-nucleotide ribosomal RNA is filed under the name uncultured bacterium. Its description in RNAcentral is "partial 16S ribosomal RNA". It matches the Rfam family "Bacterial small subunit ribosomal RNA", at positions 339 to 795 of the family's 1533-position model. The record is from RNAcentral.